Molecule: small nucleolar RNA, 66 nt
Organism: Lampris incognitus (smalleye Pacific opah)
Lineage: Eukaryota; Metazoa; Chordata; Actinopteri; Lampriformes; Lampridae
Product: small nucleolar RNA SNORD58
Exons: 1
Source: RefSeq, a predicted model, not a curated record
UGGGACUGAUGACUGCUUAGGACACCUUUGGAUUAACCCAUGAAAAUACGAGCCUAACUGACUUGC